GAACUGCAUUCGAAACUGGCAGGCUUGAGUCUUGUAGAGGGGGGUAGAAUUCCAGGUGUAGCGGUGAAAUGCGUAGAGAUCUGGAGGAAUACCGGUGGCGAAGGCGGCCCCCUGGACAAAGACUGACGCUCAGGUGCGAAAGCGUGGGGAGCAAACAGGAUUAGAUACCCUGGUAGUCCACGCCGUAAACGAUGUCUACUUGGAGGUUGUGCCCUUGAGGCGUGGCUUCCGGAGCUAACGCGUUAAGUAGACCGCCUGGGGAGUACGGCCGCAAGGUUAAAACUCAAAUGAAUUGACGGGGGCCCGCACAAGCGGUGGAGCAUGUGGUUUAAUUCGAUGCAACGCGAAGAACCUUACCUGGUCUUGACAUCCACAGAACUUUCCAGAGAUGGAUUGGUGCCUUCGGGAACUGUGAGACAGGUGCUGCAUGGCUGUCGUCAGCUCGUGUUGUGAAAUGUUGGGUUAAGUCCCGCAACGAGCGCAAC
Molecule: ribosomal RNA, 485 nt
Filed under: Salmonella enterica
Lineage: Bacteria; Pseudomonadati; Pseudomonadota; Gammaproteobacteria; Enterobacterales; Enterobacteriaceae
Description: bacterial SSU rRNA
Rfam family: Bacterial small subunit ribosomal RNA
Source: RNAcentral